CCUACCCUGGGGAUGGGCAUAGCCGGUCUAACGGCCGGGUAAUACCCAGAGAUUCGGCGAGGAGGCAUCUUUUUGCCGGGAAAUGAAUUUCGCUUCGGGAGGGGUCCAUGAGCUAUCAGCUAGUUGGUGGGGUAGCGGCCUACCAAGGCUAAGACGGCUAGCGGGUGUGAGAGCACGACCCGCGCCACUGGCACUGAGACACUGGCCAGACACCUACGGGUGGCUGCAGUCGAGGAUCUUCGUCAAUGGGCGAAAGCCUGAACGAGCGAUGCCGCGUGAGCGAUGAAGGCCUUCGGGUUGUAAAGCUCAAAAGUGAAGAGAAAGGGAAACUUGAUCGAUUCACAGUAAGCUCGGGCUAAGUUCGUGCCAGCAGCCGCGGUAAGACGAACCGAGCGAACGUUGUUAGGAAUCACUGGGCUUAAGGGCGCGUANGCGGGCAUUCAAGUCUGUGGUGAAAUCCUCCAGCUCACUGGAGAACUGCCAUGGAUACUGGGUGUCUCGAGGGUGGUAGGGGUAUGCGAAACUAUCGGUGGAGCGGUGAAAUGCGUUGAUUCNAUAGAACUCCGGNGNCNAAGCGC
This 578-nucleotide ribosomal RNA is filed under the name uncultured Gemmata sp. RNAcentral describes it as "bacterial SSU rRNA". It matches the Rfam family "Bacterial small subunit ribosomal RNA", at positions 125 to 725 of the family's 1533-position model. The record is from RNAcentral. Lineage: Bacteria; Pseudomonadati; Planctomycetota; Planctomycetia; Gemmatales; Gemmataceae.